Molecule: microRNA precursor, 116 nt
Filed under: Dichanthelium oligosanthes
Lineage: Eukaryota; Viridiplantae; Streptophyta; Magnoliopsida; Poales; Poaceae
Description: mir-399 microRNA precursor family
Rfam family: mir-399 microRNA precursor family
About the family: mir-399 was identified in both Arabidopsis thaliana and Oryza sativa computationally and was later experimentally verified. mir-399 is thought to target mRNAs coding for a phosphatase transporter. The mature sequence is excised from the 3' arm of the hairpin.
Source: Rfam by way of RNAcentral
UUGUGAAUCACGGGGCAGUUCAUCUUUGGCACACAAAGCUAGCUAGGCACGUGGUUGAGAUCGAUCACCUGCGCAUGCGUGUACGUGCCAAAGGAGAAUUGCCCUGCGAUUCGCCU